RNAcentral lists this transfer RNA (83 nucleotides) under Bacteriophage sp. Its description in RNAcentral is "tRNA-Thr". It matches the Rfam family "tRNA". From Rfam's summary of the family: Transfer RNA (tRNA) molecules are approximately 80 nucleotides in length. Their secondary structure includes four short double-helical elements and three loops (D, anti-codon, and T loops). The record is from RNAcentral.
GCCGUCUUCGCAUAGUGGACGAUUGCACCUGACUUGUAAUCAGGUUCCGUAAGGACACGUUGGUUCGAAUCCAACAGGCGGCU